Molecule: ribosomal RNA, 253 nt
Filed under: uncultured bacterium
Lineage: Bacteria
Description: partial 16S ribosomal RNA
Rfam family: Bacterial small subunit ribosomal RNA
Source: RNAcentral
UACGGAGGGUGCAAGCGUUAUCCGGAUUCACUGGGUUUAAAGGGUGCGUAGGCGGCUAUAUAAGUCAGUGGUGAAAGCCCGCAGCUCAACUGCGGAAUUGCCAUUGAAACUGCAUAGCUUGAAUCUGGUUGAAGUGGGCGGAAUACAUCAUGUAGCGGUGAAGUGCUUAGAUAUGAUGUAGAACACCGAUUGCGAAGGCAGCUCACUAAGCCAACAUUGACGCUGAGGCACGAAAGCGUGGGUAGCGAACAGG